RNAcentral lists this ribosomal RNA (215 nucleotides) under Campeiostachys nutans. Its description in RNAcentral is "Elymus nutans partial small subunit ribosomal RNA". The stretch from base 37 to 215 matches the Rfam family "Eukaryotic small subunit ribosomal RNA", at positions 684 to 864 of the family's 1831-position model. The record is from RNAcentral. Lineage: Eukaryota; Viridiplantae; Streptophyta; Magnoliopsida; Poales; Poaceae.
GGACCAUCAUGUCGGUCGUGCCUCGGUACGUACUGGUAUUGUUGGUUUCUCCCUUCUGACGAACCAUGAUGUCAUUAAUUUGGUGUCGUGGAGAAUCAGGACUGUUACUUUGAAAAAAUUAGAGUGUUUAAAGCAAGCUAACGCUUGAAUACAUUAGCAUGGAAUAAUGAAAUAGGACGUUUGACCCUAUUUUGUUGGUUUCUAGGAUCGACGUA